Molecule: unclassified non-coding RNA, 253 nt
Filed under: uncultured Caryophanales bacterium
Lineage: Bacteria; Bacillati; Bacillota; Bacilli; Caryophanales
Description: uncultured Bacillales bacterium contains 16S-23S intergenic spacer region
Rfam family: Bacterial small subunit ribosomal RNA
Source: RNAcentral
UACGUAGGUGGCAAGCGUUGUCCGGAAUUAUUGGGCGUAAAGCGCGCGCAGGCGGUCCUUUAAGUCUCAUGUGAAAGGCCACGGCUCAACCGCGGAGGGUCAUUGGAAACUUGGGGACUUGAGUGCAGAAGAGGAAAGUGGAAUUCCAUGUGUAGCGGUGAAAUGCGUAGAUAUGUGGAGGACCACCAGUGGCGAAGGCGACUCUCUGGUCUGUAAAUGACGCUGAGGCGCGAAAGCGUGGGGAGCGAACAGG